UAACCAUAACCAUGUCAUGGUGGGUUUGCCUAGUUUUCUUAUGAUGGAACAGGGCAAGUAUCAAGCAGGAGAGCAAGGUUCAUCAAUUCUGACAACACAUGCUCCACCAAUGAUUAAACCGAGGACGGUUUGCUGUCAAAAAGGGGAGAAUGAUGAGGACAUCACCUGCUCCGUAAUACUUACAUGGAUCAGGAGAAUAUUUGAUUGCAUAUUGAAAGUAUGGAUGGUGAAUGAAGUUGAUUGGGGACC
This 249-nucleotide long non-coding RNA is filed under the name Sorghum bicolor (sorghum). RNAcentral describes it as "long non-coding RNA (SBIC_LNC002901)". The record is from RNAcentral. Lineage: Eukaryota; Viridiplantae; Streptophyta; Magnoliopsida; Poales; Poaceae.